This 254-nucleotide ribosomal RNA is filed under the name uncultured bacterium. RNAcentral describes it as "partial 16S ribosomal RNA". It matches the Rfam family "Bacterial small subunit ribosomal RNA", at positions 524 to 776 of the family's 1533-position model. The record is from RNAcentral.
CACGUAGGGUGCGAGCGUUGCCCGGAAUUAUUGGGCGUAAAGAGCUCGUAGGCGGUGUGUCGCGUCGGCCGUGAAAACCUGCAGCUUAACUGUGGGCUUGCGGUCGAUACGGGCAUCACUGGAGUUCGGCAGGGGAGACUGGAAUUCCUGGUGUAGCGGUGAAAUGCGCAGAUAUCAGGAGGAACACCGAUGGCGAAGGCAGCUCGCUGGGACGGUACUGACGCUGAGGCGCGAAAGCGUGGGGAGCAAACAGG